GUUUUCUUGUUGCCGAUUUAAAAGAAAAGACUUUGCAUCAUAUAAGCAAUAAACAUAAGUGCUGGACUAUUAACUCUACUCGCUACUGUCAGUUCCAUCUUCAUGAUUAACAUCUGAGUUGCAUUCAAAUUACCACAUUCGAAAGACCCGCCUUUGGUGAAGACAGAAUUUGUGGUGUUACACAAAUAGAGAGCUUAUAUCAGAGGAUAGACUACCUAAUUGGGAGCCUUUUCAGUGUUUGUGAUUCUGAAUAAUAGAUCCACCACUCUGCUGAUUCUAUAG
Molecule: long non-coding RNA, 282 nt
Organism: Saccostrea cuccullata (small rock oyster)
Lineage: Eukaryota; Metazoa; Mollusca; Bivalvia; Ostreida; Ostreidae
Exons: 3
Source: RefSeq, a predicted model, not a curated record